RNAcentral lists this ribosomal RNA (269 nucleotides) under Racocetra verrucosa. RNAcentral's name for it is "partial 28S ribosomal RNA". The record is from RNAcentral. Lineage: Eukaryota; Fungi; Glomeromycota; Glomeromycetes; Diversisporales; Gigasporaceae.
UUAGGGGAACUCUUUGGUGCACUUCUUCGCUUGGCAGGUUAGCAUCAAUUUUGGAUGUCAUAAAAUUACUGGGGGAAGGUAGCUCCCUUCGGGGAGUGUUAUAGCCUUGGUAGAUGUGAUGACCGGGAUUGAGGAUUGCAGCGGAUACUUUUGGGCUAGCCGCCUGGUCUCUAAUACGAAGUUGGGUUAUGGACAGCACGCUGACUGUGAUCUGAUUUUCGGUUAAAAGAUUAGAGCGAGUGUAAAUUCGUUAAGGAUGUUGACGUAAA